RNAcentral lists this ribosomal RNA (465 nucleotides) under uncultured bacterium. RNAcentral's name for it is "bacterial SSU rRNA". It matches the Rfam family "Bacterial small subunit ribosomal RNA", at positions 338 to 795 of the family's 1533-position model. The record is from RNAcentral.
CCUACGGGUCGCACCAGUGGGGAAUAUUGCACAAUGGGCGCAAGCCUGAUGCAGCCAUGCCGCGUGUAUGAAGAAGGCCUUCGGGUUGUAAAGUACUUUCAGCGGGGAGGAAGGUGUUGAGGUUAAUAACCUCAGCAAUUGACGUUACCUGCAGAAGAAGCACCGGCUAACUCCGUGCCAGCAGCCGCGGUAAUACGGAGGGUGCAAGCGUCAAUCGGAAUUACUGGGCGUAAAGCGCACGCAGGCGGUCUGUCAAGUCGGAUGUGAAAUCCCCGGGCUCAACCUGGGAACUGCAUUCGGAACUGGCAGGCUGGAGUCUUGUAGGGGGGGGUAGAAUUCCAGGUGUAGCGGUGAAAUGCGUAGAGAUCUGGAGGAAUACCGGUGGCGAAGGCGGCCCCCUGGACAAAGACUGACGCUCAGGUGCGAAAGCGUGGGGAGCAAACAGGAUUAGAUACCCCUGUAGUC